CUACGGAGGGGACUAGCGUUGUUCGGAAUUACUGGGCGUAAAGGGCGCGCAGGCGGUUUGGUAAGUCAGAUGUGAAAGCCCAUGGCUCAACCAUGGAAGUGCAUUUGAAACUGUCAGACUUGAGUACUAGAGGGGAAAGUGGAAUUCCCGGUGUAGAGGUGAAAUUCGUAGAUAUCGGGAGGAAUACCGGUGGCGAAGGCGACUUUCUGGCUAGAUACUGACGCUGAGGCGCGAAAGCGUGGGGAGCAAACAGGAUUAGAUACCCUAGUAGUCC
Molecule: ribosomal RNA, 274 nt
Filed under: uncultured bacterium
Lineage: Bacteria
Description: partial 16S ribosomal RNA
Rfam family: Bacterial small subunit ribosomal RNA
Source: RNAcentral